Papaver somniferum (opium poppy) is the source of this 2833-nucleotide long non-coding RNA. RefSeq lists it as uncharacterized. The record is from RefSeq and is a predicted model, not a curated record. Lineage: Eukaryota; Viridiplantae; Streptophyta; Magnoliopsida; Ranunculales; Papaveraceae. The transcript is spliced from 2 exons.
GGAUAAUAUAAAAGAUCGGGUUUCUUUAAUUGUUGGAAAUAUUUUGUGGUUCUUUCCAGUUUGAUGUUGAUUAAGUUUAUGUAUGUAGAAAUAUACGCGGUGGGUGAUUUUUAAUUCUGUAUUUUGAUAACUUGAAUUACUUAAAUUUUGAAUUUUAGGGUUUCUGAAAUGUUGUGUAAGUUGCCUUAAAUCUUUGGUUCUGAUAUUGAUUAGACUCAUGAAUUUGUGAUGUAACUAAUGUAUUGCCAAAGUUUGCUGGUUUUAUGAGAAAAUGGUAGUGUGGGUUCUAUUAGGAUUGCAUUUUCUAGGUCACCUGGUCUGUGUAUUUCGACCUCAUUCUUUCAGAAUAGAUAGCAUUGAUGUCUUUUGGGGUCAUGGGUUGUGCACCUUGACCAAUUAUGUCUGUUCGUAGGUGGGAAACUAGGUUUAACAAGGCAUUUACGAUUGAAACUAGAAAUGAAUAGGCAAUUUCUCAAGGAUUUAGAAAUGUGUACGUUAUGCCUGAUAUUGAAAUCUGCUACUGUAGAAUGAAAAUUCUGCUAAUAUUGGUAUGUUCAAGUUGACUUAUUUGUUUACUUGAUGAAUUUUACAUUGUCAUCAGUACCUGUUUCGUUGGAGCAGGCAGAAUCCGCGACAAAAUGUUUUGUUCAAGAAACUACUACUGUCUGUGAGGCUCAAUUGCUUCUUUGUCUUUUUUGUAUAUGCUAUGUUGGUAGUUUAGUUGUUUAUUGCUUAUAUCCGACUAGGCAGUGGAAUCUUGCCCAGUUGGUAAAAGAGAACUUUUGCUUAACUACUGAGGUAAAUAUUAAAAUUUAGCCGGCUAGGAAAUUAGUUGUCUUGCGAUUAUCUUGAUAUGGUUUGUUUGGUAGGAUGGUGAGCAAGGACAUUUACCAGUGUUGAUUUUGAGCUUGAAAGAAAGUGAGCAGAAGGCCAGCGAUUGUAUUUUUGCAUAACACAAACAAAUGCAAGAAGUGGUUACGACUGUUACUAGAAAUAAAGGAUUCUCAACUUUUGUUGCUCAUGGCUCUCAUAUAUGUUUAUUACCUAAGGAGUAUUAAAUACAUUAUGUUUUGUUUUAUCAGGCAUAUGCUUCACGAGGAAAUAUAUCUCUUACUAUUUAUUUCCAAUGCCAUGGUGAUCAAAGCUAAAAAAUUUGAUUGACAUGCAGAGAUGUAUUGUUUCUAUCACCUUAUAUAUUCUUCUUUUGUCAGUUCUAAACGAAAAUGACUUUUGUGCGCAAUCAUGAUUCUUCUUUUUUCUUGUUACUCCAACGACCCUAUUCUCAAAGUAAUAACUUUGGUUAUCUUUUCCUGUUUCGUGGUUCAAAUGCAGGCUCUUGUACAAGGGAAAAGGGUGAUACAGGGUGCUUCAUAUUUGAUACGGUUAUUCCAGUUUUGUGUUAGUUUCACAUUUGUUCCAGAGCUGGGGGUUCAAAUCAAGCUUGCGUUACCUUCUUCUCUGCCAAGUACAGGAAUGUUAUGGCAGGUUUGGUUUCAGGUAAAAUCGGGCAGAGAUUUUCACAAAGAGAAGAUACUGAUACCAGCAGGAUAGGAAUUACUGGUGAAUCACUUUGAGUGGUUGAAAGAGGCAGAGGAAGAAGAUUGUAGAUUUUCUGGUAGCAGAUUGAGUGCACACGCAACAGCUGACAUAACAUUUCCACCACACCGUUGGAUCGUUUGGCAUUCAUCUCAAACUUCGCCCUGUUCCUCCUUCAGGUUGACCAUCAUCAAAUUUGGUUUUAUCUCCUGAAGGAAAAUGGUAGAUGCUCCCACCUUUUCCCAUGCCAGCACCACCAUAGCCUCUGUCAGAACAAAGUAAGUAUCUGUGAGGGUAAAUUGAGCCACAGUAAGGACCAACACGUCUUCCUAGAAUUCUCAUUCUACCACCGGUUGAUUUGACAUCAAGUCGAAGUGGUGUCGCAUCUUCAACUGUCAAGGUUUCACCAAGUUUAUGUACAUUUAUAGCCAGAGCUUUGGGGAAAUCUCGGGAAUCAAAAAAUUCGAUGAGAGCAAUCCCCUGGGGAACACUAGUGCAAAGAAGCGUUGGAAUGUGCAUCCACAAGAUCUUUGCGCAAGUUGAGAAAAUCUCUUCAAGGGAGCUCCGGACCUGGUUUAUUCCUAAAGAAGUAUCAAAACCUCGGAUAAAUAUGGUUUCACGAGCAAAGCCGAUUUCAACAGGACGGCCAACAAGUAUUUGCCAUUCAACUCAACUGCCUUCUUUGCAGCUUCUUCAGUUGCAAACUCAGCAUGGCAAUUUCCCCUGAAUUCUCCAUUUUGACGUAAAGAGAAACGCACAUCAAGAACUUCCCCAGCAUGUUUAAAGAACUCAAUCACAUCAGAUUUAGUAGUGGAAGAUGAUAAGUUCUUGGCAACAAGUGUUUGGAUGCUCCAGUGCUUUCCAACAGAGGGCCAACUACAAUUUCCCGGUUACCCAAGUAUUGGCCAUCCAACUCUAAUGCCUUGUUUGCAGCUUCUUUAGUUGCAAACUCAAUUCAGCAGGUACCUCGAUCCUUGAAGCAUGCAUCAACAACUUCCCCAGUCUGUUUAAAGAACUCAAAUCACGUCAGAUUUUUUUCAUGAAAAAGGAUAUGCUCCUAGCAACAACUGUUUUAGAUUCUCCAGUGCUUUGCACUUGAGGUGCAGGAUAGGUCAUUAGCUCAUCCCUGGACUCUUUUGUUUUUGGCUGAAGCACCUCCCUGUGUUUGGUUUCUUGCUACAUGGUACUAUCCAAUUCCUGUUGUCAGAAUCCUUAGGAGACGAAUCGUUUCCAUUGUUAAACUAUUGGAUCUUCUUGUUCUUUUUAGCAUCUGCUGCUACCUUCUUUUUCUUCUUUA